Molecule: transfer RNA, 76 nt
Filed under: Acidobacteriota bacterium
Lineage: Bacteria; Pseudomonadati; Acidobacteriota
Also listed under: 1 other name
Description: tRNA-Lys
Rfam family: tRNA
About the family: Transfer RNA (tRNA) molecules are approximately 80 nucleotides in length. Their secondary structure includes four short double-helical elements and three loops (D, anti-codon, and T loops).
Source: RNAcentral
GAGUCGGUAGCUCAGUUGGUAGAGCAUGUCACUUUUAAUGACAGGGUCGCGGGUUCGAGCCCCGCCCGACUCACCA